RNAcentral lists this ribosomal RNA (253 nucleotides) under uncultured bacterium. RNAcentral's name for it is "partial 16S ribosomal RNA". It matches the Rfam family "Bacterial small subunit ribosomal RNA", at positions 524 to 776 of the family's 1533-position model. The record is from RNAcentral.
UACGAAGGGGGCUAGCGUUGUUCGGAAUUACUGGGCGUAAAGGGCUCGUAGGUGGCCAACUAAGUCAGACGUGAAAUCCCCAGGCUCAACCUGGGAACUGCGUCUGAUACUGGUUGGCUUGAAUCCGGGAGAGGGAUGCAGAAUUCCAGGUGUAGCGGUGAAAUGCGUAGAUAUCUGGAGGAAUACCGGUGGCGAAGGCGGCAUCCUGGACCGGCAUUGACGCUGAGGAGCGAAAGCUAGGGGAGCAAACGGG